CGAGGAAUAUUGGUCAAUGGGCGCAAGCCUGAACCAGCCAUCCCGCGUGCGGGAAGACGGCGCUAUGCGUUGUAAACUGCUUUUCCAGGGAGAGAAACUUGCGCACGUGUUGCGCAAUUGACGGUACCCUGGGAAUAAGCAUCGGCUAACUCCGUGCCAGCAGCCGCGGUAAUACGGAGGAUGCGAGCGUUAUCCGGAUUCAUUGGGUUUAAAGGGUGCGUAGGCGGACUAUUAAGUCAGUGGUGAAAUCCUGCAGCUUAACUGCAGAACUGCCAUUGAUACUGAUAGCCUUGAGUUUGGUUAAGGUGGGCGGAAUGUGUAAUGUAGCGGUGAAAUGCUUAGAUAUUACACAGAACACCAAUUGCGUAGGCAGCUUACUGAGCCGACACUGACGCUGAGGCACGAAAGCGUGGGGAUCGAACAG
RNAcentral lists this ribosomal RNA (424 nucleotides) under uncultured bacterium. RNAcentral's name for it is "bacterial SSU rRNA". It matches the Rfam family "Bacterial small subunit ribosomal RNA", at positions 355 to 775 of the family's 1533-position model. The record is from RNAcentral.